Molecule: ribosomal RNA, 342 nt
Filed under: uncultured bacterium
Lineage: Bacteria
Description: bacterial SSU rRNA
Rfam family: Bacterial small subunit ribosomal RNA
Source: RNAcentral
GAUAAACGCUGGCGGCGCACAUAAGACAUGCAAGUCGAACGGAAGUCGUUAUAAAAAGGAUUGAAGACUUAUCUGAUUGAUAUUUUAUAACAAUGGCUUUAGUGGCGGACUGGUGAGUAACGCGUAAGCAAUCUGCCUGUUAGAGGGGAAUAACAAUGAGAAAUCAUUGCUAAUACCGCAUAUGCCAUAUGAAUCACAUGGUUCAAGUGGGAAAGGAGCAAUCCGCUAACAGAUGAGCUUGCGUCUGAUUAGUUAGUUGGUGGGGUAACGGCCUACCAAGACGAUGAUCAGUAGCCGGACUGAGAGGUUGAACGGCCACAUUGGGACUGAGAUACGGCCCGG